UCCAGGUGUCCCAGGAAUAGAAAUUGGAAUAACUGACAUGAACAGAUCUUUUCAACAAAUAUAUUGGGACAACCUCGAACAGCAAAGUUCAAAUCAAGUAGGCUCCUUAUUCAUAUGUAAACUCAAAGCAAUUAAAUAAUAAUAUUCCAACCAAUCAAAUAUCAAAUUAGUGAUCAUAGAGUCAUAUCAAACUACAAUCUGACAUAUCUAAACCAAGCAGAUUCACAAUUUUAUAUGCUUGUCCAAAGUGAAGCAACGGAUUUAACAAAAUGACAUGGAAAAAUUAGAGUCAAAUCAAAUCAGUAUUUUAUUCAUUCGAAACUAGCAACAAUCAGAAAAUUAGAAGUGUACCUACCUUGUAUUUAAAAAAAAUGAAGGAAAAGCGAAACGAAGCUUAGCAGCAAUUUCCCGUCCACAACAAACAACAAUCACAGCAAGACAACUCCAAUUAGAGCUUUGACAACUUGGAUUCUAAAUAGGAAUAAGCGGCUUUUUGGGCAUCAGGAGAAGAGUUCCAAUCAAGGGCAUCCACAAUAGCUCGAGCUACAUUACUUGCUAUACCAUUUUCCGCCAUCUUUUUUAGCUGUUAAUUAAUGGUUCAAUAGAUUCUUGAAAUUGUACGGUAUUCACUUUUGAAAAGGGUUUUAAAAAGGGAAGAAAGAAAAAACUGAAAAGAAGGUUUUAAGCAAAUAUGUCAGUUAUUUGCACUCUGCGAUGGUGGACAGAGUGGGGAUAGAGGAAAGGUGCUCGUCUUUUGGGUCUUUGAUUUGUGUGUCGUCAGAAGCUGGAGAGGGAAGGGAUAAGGUGAAAGUUGCAUUAAGGUUGGGUCUUAGGGAUUUGACUAUUU
This 847-nucleotide long non-coding RNA is filed under the name Nicotiana tabacum (common tobacco). Its description in RNAcentral is "long non-coding RNA (NTAB_LNC014760)". The record is from RNAcentral. Lineage: Eukaryota; Viridiplantae; Streptophyta; Magnoliopsida; Solanales; Solanaceae.